Molecule: ribosomal RNA, 1074 nt
Filed under: uncultured bacterium
Lineage: Bacteria
Description: bacterial SSU rRNA
Rfam family: Bacterial small subunit ribosomal RNA
Source: RNAcentral
GGGCAUCCCCUGAAUACCAAAGCUUUAUGUGCUGAAAGAUGGCCUCGCGUCUGAUUAGAUAGUUGGUGGGGUAACGGCCUACCAAGUCAACGAUCAGUAGCCGGUCUGAGAGGAUGAACGGCCACAUUGGGACUGAGAUACGGCCCAGACUCCUACGGGAGGCAGCAGUGGGGAAUAUUGGGCAAUGGGGGAAACCCUGACCCAGCAACGCCGCGUGAAGGAAGAAGGCCUUCGGGUUGUAAACUUCUUUUACCAGGGACGAAGAACGUGACGGUACCUGGAGAAAAAGCAACGGCUAACUACGUGCCAGCAGCCGCGGUAAUACGUAGGUUGCAAGCGUUGUCCGGAUCUACUGGGUGUAAAGGGCGUGUAGGCGGAGCUGCAAGUCAGAUGUGAAAUCCCGGGGCUCAACCCCGGAACUGCAUUUGAAACUGUAGCCCUUGAGUAUCGGAGAGGCAAGCGGAAUUCCUAGUGUAGCGGUGAAAUGCGUAGAUAUUAGGAGGAACACCAGUGGCGAAGGCGGCUUGCUGGACGACAACUGACGCUGAGGCGCGAAAGCGUGGGGAGCAAACAGGAUUAGAUACCCUGGUAGUCCACGCUGUAAACGAUGAAUACUAGGUGUGGGAGGACUGACCCCUUCCGUGCCGCAGUUAACACAAUAAGUAUUCCACCUGGGGAGUACGACCGCAAGGUUGAAACUCAAAGGAAUUGACGGGGGCCCGCACAAGCAGUGGAUUAUGCGGUUUAAUUCGACGCAACGCGAAGAACCUUACCAGGACUUGACAUCCAACUAACGAAGUAGAGAUACAUUAGGUGCCCUUCGGGGAAAGUUGAGACAGGUGGUGCAUGGUUGUCGUCAGCUCGUGUCGUGAGAUGUUGGGUUAAGUCCCGCAACGAGCGCAACCCCUAUUGUUAGUUGCUACGCAAGAGCACUCUAGCGAGACUGCCGUUGACAAAACGGAGGAAGGCGGGGACGACGUCAAAUCAUCAUGCCCCUUAUGUCCUGGGCUACACACGUAAUACAAUGGCCGUCAACAAAGGGAAGCAAUACUGCGAAGUGGAGCAAAUCCCCAA